RNAcentral lists this ribosomal RNA (599 nucleotides) under uncultured bacterium. Its description in RNAcentral is "bacterial SSU rRNA". It matches the Rfam family "Bacterial small subunit ribosomal RNA", at positions 145 to 755 of the family's 1533-position model. The record is from RNAcentral.
AGCCGUUCUAACGGACGGAUAAUUCCCAGCGAUUUGAUCGGGGGGCAUCCUCUGAUCAGGAAAUGAAUUUCGCCUCGGGAGGGGCUGACGUGAUAUUAGCUAGUUGGUGAGGUAACGGCUCACCAAGGCGAAGAUGUCUAGCGGGUGUGAGAGCACGACCCGCGCCACUGGCACUGAGACACUGGCCAGACUCCUACGGGAGGCUGCAGUCGAGGAUCUUCGGCAAUGGGCGCAAGCCUGACCGAGCGACGCCGCGUGUGCGAUGAAGGCCUUCGGGUUGUAAAGCACAGUCGAGGGGGAGGAAGCCGAAAGGUUGACCUAUCCCUGGAGGAAGGACGGGCUAAGUUCGUGCCAGCAGCCGCGGUAAGACGAACCGUCCUAACGUUGUUCGGAAUCACUGGGCUUAAAGGGCGCGUAGGCGGCUUAUCAAGUCCGGGGUGAAAGCCCCCAGCCCAACUGGGGAAGUGCCUUGGAUACUGGUAGGCUUGAGGGAGGUAGGGGCAACUGGAACUUCCGGUGGAGCGGUGAAAUGCGUUGAUAUCGGAAGGAACGCCGGUGGCGAAAGCGAGUUGCUGGAUCUCUUCUGACGCUGAGGCGCG